GACGAACGCUGGCGGCGUGCUUAACACAUGCAAGUCGAACGAAGAGCGACGGAAGCUUGCUUCUAUCAAUCUUAGUGGCGAACGGGUGAGUAACGCGUAAUCAACCUGCCCUUCAGAGGGGGACAACAGUUGGAAACGACUGCUAAUACCGCAUACGAUCUAACCUCGGCAUCGAGGAUAGAUGAAAGGUGGCCUCUACAUGUAAGCUAUCACUGAAGGAGGGGAUUGCGUCUGAUUAGCUAGUUGGAGGGGUAACGGCCCACCAAGGCGAUGAUCAGUAGCCGGUCUGAGAGGAUGAACGGCCACAUUGGGACUGAGACACGGCCCAGACUCCUACGGGAGGCAGCAGUGGGGAAUCUUCCGCAAUGGACGAAAGUCUGACGGAGCAACGCCGCGGGAGUGAUGACGGCCUUCGGGUUGUAAAGCUCUGUUAAUCGGGACGAAAGGCCUUCUUGCGAAUAGGGAGAAGGAUUGACGGUACCGGAAGAGAAAGCCACGGCUAACUACGUG
Molecule: ribosomal RNA, 510 nt
Filed under: uncultured bacterium
Lineage: Bacteria
Description: partial 16S ribosomal RNA
Rfam family: Bacterial small subunit ribosomal RNA
Source: RNAcentral